UGGGAGCUUGCUCCCUGAGAUUAGCGGCGGACGGGUGAGUAACACGUGGGCAACCUGCCUAUAAGACUGGGAUAACUUCGGGAAACCGGAGCUAAUACCGGAUACGUUCUUUUCUCGCAUGAGAGAAGAUGGAAAGACGGUUUACGCUGUCACUUAUAGAUGGGCCCGCGGCGCAUUAGCUAGUUGGUGAGGUAAUGGCUCACCAAGGCGACGAUGCGUAGCCGACCUGAGAGGGUGAUCGGCCACACUGGGACUGAGACACGGCCCAGACUCCUACGGGAGGCAGCAGUAGGGAAUCUUCCGCAAUGGACGAAAGUCUGACGGAGCAACGCCGCGUGAACGAAGAAGGCCUUCGGGUCGUAAAGUUCUGUUGUUAGGGAAGAACAAGUACCAGAGUAACUGCUGGUACCUUGACGGUACCUAACCAGAAAGCCACGGCUAACUACGUGCCAG
Molecule: ribosomal RNA, 453 nt
Filed under: Bacillus sp. (in: firmicutes)
Lineage: Bacteria; Bacillati; Bacillota; Bacilli; Caryophanales; Bacillaceae
Description: bacterial SSU rRNA
Rfam family: Bacterial small subunit ribosomal RNA
Source: RNAcentral